CACAACACUGCAUAAUGUAUUAGAGGCAUCAAUACAGUAUGUUGCUCAUAUUGAAUGAUAUGCUUAUACCACUGAAUUAAAAAAAAUGAAUGGGGAAAUAAAGUCAGGGGCAGGUUUUUUCAGGAACUGAUCUAAAACAAGGAGAAUGUUUCUGACAUUCUUUAUUGAAGGGAAUAGUAAUUGCAAAAUUUGUUUUAGGGGAUGCCGUCAUACUGAUCCUUUUAAAUGAGGGGGAAACCAGCAUUUGACAAAAGGCGAGACCUGCUUCUGUGGAACUGGAGAGGGACGAAGAUUGAAGCAGAAGACAAAGACCUUGUGAAGGAAGUUUACCAUCCCACUAAAGCUCUGCAGAAAAGCCGGUGGAGAUUUAACACAACCUGGAGUUGCAUUAAAUUCCGUAACUCAUUUGGACUUUAAAGGGAGGUCUAUGGAGCAGCAGCAGCAUAUUGUGAGGGAGCCGAGAGGAACCACAACAGACUUGGAGGCAAUGUAGAGGCACAGAGCCUCAUAAAAGAUUUUGUGGGACGCACAAUGGGAGGAAAGUCCUCGCCCCUUCUUCCUGAUGAAAUGAUGUGUGAGGAGCGCUGAGAGGUGCUCCUCAGUGAGUCUGCUGUAAUGCAUUAACUGUUCCCCCAUGGAUAUUUCCAGAGGAGGAGAUGUUGUAGGCAUGCAUUAACUUUUUCCUCAAGAGUCUUUAAAGCAGGGUUAACAAUAUCUCUGAACAGAUCAAAUAAUAAUACAAAAUCUUAGAGGCACGUUAUACUGGAGAAAAUCUCUAUUUUCAGUUUAUGUAAUUUAUGUCCUAGAGAACAACAAAGAAAAAUGAAAAAGCUCUCAAGAGACAAUGGGCUCCAUUCUGUCCUCACAUGCAUGGCUUAGUUACAAGUGGGCACUGGUCCAGCUUCUGUGCUCAGAGUCACAUGUGCAACUUCCUCUGACUUAAACAGAGCAUAUAUUUUUAUUGGGAGAAUUUGGUCUUUUCUGUGUACGUAAAUUACCAUGAUUUAUUUAUUAUUUGUAUUGUAGUAUAAGGAUUAGGGCCCCACUGUUCAAAGCCUCAUGAAAACAUGGACUUUUAGAAAUAGAAAUGUUACAUUCUAGGGAAGUAACAUCAUAUGAAGGUUGGGAUGAAGAAGACAAACAACUAUAUACAAUAUACAAGAUAUAUAUACAAAAAUAAUUGUUUUGCUAACUAAAUGCAUGUGUAUUUAGAUUUGUA
Molecule: long non-coding RNA, 1219 nt
Filed under: Crocodylus porosus (Australian saltwater crocodile)
Lineage: Eukaryota; Metazoa; Chordata; Crocodylia; Crocodylidae
Description: lncRNA (ENSCPRG00005014441.1)
Source: RNAcentral